AGCACCAAGCGGCAGCAGGACCACGCUGUGACCGCCUGUUCAUUUAAAGCUUCCUCCUCACGUGACAUUUCCGAAACGUCUUGAGACACAACAAGUACUUUAUGGGUAAACAACUAUUUUCCCUCGGGCCGACGCAUUGCAGAACGGAUGAAGAACAGCCAUUACCAGCCCAUUUCUCAACCACAGCUGCCGGUUGGAUGUGGUGGGAAGAUAAGGGCUGACAGCAUCGGGGCGAGUGACCGUUGAGCCCACAUCUUCACAGAGAUCUGCCUCCAUUGUUCAUCCCAGAUUAAGCUGCACUCGACGGGCGGACCGCAGGAACAGAGCGCACGCCUCCGGUACUUCACAGCACAAGACUCACAAAACAGCACGAGAAGAACCGUAUGAUGAUUGGCGGGACCCUCUGGCUGUCGCGCUCACUGGCCAACUGGUUUGGGGUUUUCCUCGACUGCAGCUGAACAUGAGAGAGGGACAUGAGGGAAACUGAGCGGGGAGGCGACAGGGACUCGGCGUGCUGCCCGCAAUUCGCGCCGGUGUUGCCUUUGGGAUCCUGGACCCAUCCAUGCACUUGCCACGUCCUUGAGCUUUCUUCUCCUCCUGCAAGACUGACCAAGUCAACACACACACAUCUACCAUCAGCUGACUACGGGUAUCAAAACUCAAAACCUGUGGGAAAAAAACGCUACAUGACAGCAGAGCCAUUAAUGAGACAGUCCAGACACACAUAUGCUACAUGCAUCUAUAAUAUUUAACUAAGUGCUUUGUAAGUGUGAAGUUUGUCUAAUAACAACAUCACAU
Gasterosteus aculeatus aculeatus (three-spined stickleback) is the source of this 798-nucleotide long non-coding RNA. The record is from Ensembl. Lineage: Eukaryota; Metazoa; Chordata; Actinopteri; Perciformes; Gasterosteidae.